This 501-nucleotide ribosomal RNA is filed under the name uncultured Glomus. RNAcentral's name for it is "SSU rRNA". It matches the Rfam family "Eukaryotic small subunit ribosomal RNA", at positions 569 to 1074 of the family's 1831-position model. Lineage: Eukaryota; Fungi; Glomeromycota; Glomeromycetes; Glomerales; Glomeraceae. The record is from RNAcentral.
AGCAGCCGCGGUAAUUCCAGCUCCAAUAGCGUAUAUUAAAGUUGCUGCAGUUAAAAAGCUCGUAGUUGAAUUUCGGGAUCAAUAUGUUGGUCGUGCCUUGGUACGUACUAGCUUAUUGGUUUCUCCCUUCUGACGAACCAUGAUGUCAUUAAUUUGGUGUCAUGUGGAAUCAGGACUGUUACUUUGAAAAAAUUAGAGUGUUUAAAGCAGGCUCACGCUUGAAUACAUUAGCAUGGAAUAAUGAAAUAGGACGUUUGAUUCUAUUUUGUUGGUUUCUAGGAUCGACGUAAUGAUUAAUAGGGAUAGUUGGGGGCAUUAGUAUUCAAUUGUCAGAGGUGAAAUUCUUGGAUUUAUUGAAGACUAACUACUGCGAAAGCAUUUGCCAAGGAUGUUUUCAUUAAUCAAGAACGAAAGUUAGGGGAUCGAAGACGAUCAGAUACCGUCGUAGUCUUAACCAUAAACUAUGCCGACUAGGGAUCGGAUGAUGUUAAUUUUUAAUGA